Molecule: non-coding RNA, 1152 nt
Organism: Urocitellus parryii (Arctic ground squirrel)
Lineage: Eukaryota; Metazoa; Chordata; Mammalia; Rodentia; Sciuridae
Source: RefSeq, a predicted model, not a curated record
GGAGCGUCCAGGAGGCGGGGCUUAACACCAGCUGUCAAUCAGUACGUUUGCCUGGUGGUCUGCGUUCCCGUAGCUGCUCAAAAUAAGAGGACAAAAUAAAACUAAGGCUCCUGCAAAGUAGCUGCUGUUGUUACCAACGUUUUACUAAUGAGGGAACAUUUUACUGAUGAGGACUUGAGCUGUCUUGAUAGCGACAGGGGCUGUGUUGUACUCUCAAGACUGGAAGCUGCCUGCCUCUUCACGACUGAGCUUGCCAUAAAGCAGGUUUGGAGCUUACCCCCAGCAACAACUGGGAAGGAUCAAAAACAGACACUUCCGGAGCAACUACAAAGGCAGUCCAUGAUUUGAGUACUUUCCAUGAAAUUACUCGUUUAAUUCACAACAGUCCUCUGAGUGUAGUAAGAGUAGAAGAAGAAUGAAUGAAUGAAUCUUCUGGAAACCCUCACAACUUCCCAAUGGAGUAAGCAGAGUUCAAAUUGUUAUCUCCAGACUCUCUGGGUCCAAUCCCAGUUCUGUCACUCACCAGCUACUUCCUAGGGCAAGUUAUAUAACCUCUGUAUGUGCCUCAGUCUUUAUCCCGAAAAAUGAGGACAAUACUAUCUACCUCAGAGUUAUUUUAAGGAUUUAGUGGAUUAAUAAUUAUAAAAUGCCCAGAACUGUGUCUUGUACGCAGUGAGUGUUAUGUAAGUGUUGAUGAGAAUAAUAAUUCUGUUUUCUAUAUGAAUAGAAGAAAUUCGGAGAAGAACAAUUACUUACCCAAAGACACAUCAUUGAUAAGUAAAAGAACACUUUUGUUCUGGGGCUGUUCCAGUUUUGCAGCAGAGAGAAGGGUAGUUAUAUGGCUAAUCAAAUGUUGUCUUGCAAAAGAAGGAGGCUAGCAUCUAAGAGUGGCAGGCAGGCAUAUUGGAACUUGGAACUUUGAUGUCUGACUUGACUUCCUCUUGGUAGUUGUUGGUUUUUCACCGAACUGCCUAUUAACAUUCAUGCACCAGUUUACUCUUUCCUUGAAUACAAAUUUUUGAAGGCUCCAGAUGCAAACAACCUGGUCUGCAUAGCUGUGACCCACACUAACUGUAUAACUUUGGACACUGCURAGCUUCAAAUCCCUCAUCUGCAAAACAGGGAUAAAAUGAAAUUGCUCUGAAAAUUCAA